RNAcentral lists this ribosomal RNA (253 nucleotides) under uncultured bacterium. Its description in RNAcentral is "partial 16S ribosomal RNA". It matches the Rfam family "Bacterial small subunit ribosomal RNA", at positions 524 to 776 of the family's 1533-position model. The record is from RNAcentral.
AACGUAGGAGGCGAGCGUUAUCCGGAUUUACUGGGCGUAAAGCGCGCGCAGGCGGCUUGGUAAGUUGGACGUGAAAGCUCCUGGCUUAACUGGGAGAGGCCGUUCGAAACUGCCGGGCUUGAGGUUGGGAGAGGGGUGCGGAAUUCCCGGUGUAGUGGUGGAAUGCGUAGAUAUCGGGAGGAACACCAGUGGCGAAGGCGGCACCCUGGCCCACACCUGACGCUGAGGUGCGAAAGCGUGGGGAGUAAACAGG